CUUUUCUAUCGAACUUUGCUGAAUAACACAACUUAAUAAGCACAGUUUACAGACUGAUCUGAGAGAUGUUGACUGAUUGGAGGUUUUACUUUCAGUCCAGAGGUGUUCUCGUAUUAUUACGGAGGAAAGCACGGUGUGGGUGUGCCCUUUGAACUAACAACGCGGAUUCGUUGUUCACACUUUUCGUUAGGAAAAGUGAGGGUGACGAUCCGCAAUGCCAAUUGGUUAUAGCCCACGUUAAUAAAUGAAGAUAGGAGGAGGAAGCCUCCUACCAACGUAGCUCGCAGGUGACAUUGUUCAUGGGAAAAACCAGCUUUUCCGUUAGACAAAUAUUCGUUUUUCUCAUUAGAACGGUUCAACGACCUAGCUCACCUGGAGCACCGAUCCUCGAGUGGACGCCGAGCCAUCUCGUUUGAUCCAAACAGAGGCGGUGCUCGGGAAAUUCUAGAAAAAGUUGGGAGUCGCGUCAGGUGAGAUAAGGCCCCCGGCCGUAUCUUCUGCUCUGUCGCAAUUUACGGGGCGAACAACUGGGGAUUGGGGGUGGGGGAAUAGGAACAGUGAGCCAGAAAUACAGUGAGGAAAUAUAGGAAGUGUCCUGGGGAUACGGCGGAAACAGAACUUCGACUUGGCGGGAGGAACGGCCUUCUGCCUCGGCGAGAAGUCUUUUAUCGGAGGUGGAACAGAGGGGGUGGUAGAAGUCGCGGCGUGGUAACGCGAGAGCGGAGCAGAUAUUUGAUACACGCGAGCUCCAUCACGAUAUUUGAAUAACGAGAUAAGCAUUCUUCCGUGCUCUAGUCGAUAAACUCGUUCCUUGGUCUUCCAAUUUCUGUUUUCGAGGGUUCUAUCGGUGUUCUAGGUUGGCACAGCCAAUCGACGAUACGCGGAACGAUGGUUUCUGAUAGAGCAAGUGCUUUUGGCAUAGGUUAGGGCGAGACGCGAGGUAUGAGUAUGUUUAGAGUAACGAACUGCAAUACAAGUUUAUAGCGUGCACGGGACGUACGAACCUUUGUUGGAUCUCCGAAAGAAAAUUUUUGUUUGCUUUCAAAGUGGAUUUUUUUUCUGAUAUUUAAGAACCUUGUGAGUUUUAAAGGAUUCUAUCACAACAUCUCGAUAAUCCUACAAAUUUCGAUAAAAUUUUUAUCGAAAUAAUUAUUUUUCAAUAAAAAUAUCAUAUUCUAUUUGUUUUGUUACACUAUUUUGAAUAACGUAACCGCGUUAACCCGUUCCUCGUUGUUUCAUCAACGGCAUUAG
Molecule: unclassified non-coding RNA, 1251 nt
Filed under: Bombus terrestris (buff-tailed bumblebee)
Lineage: Eukaryota; Metazoa; Arthropoda; Insecta; Hymenoptera; Apidae
Description: misc RNA ENSBTSG00005035408.1
Source: RNAcentral